UAAAAUGAUAACGUGUUCGAUGAUAUAAUCGGGGAGAACUUUUUGGUUGCCAUAAAAGCAAUUCACAAGGUAUGUCCAUUCCGUAUAUGAUUUGAGUUUUACUUUAUAGCUGCAAGUAACUUGACUUGCAAGUUACAUCUAUGUUUGCAGGCUGAGAUCGAGCACUACUGCGAGGACAAGGAGGCUUACAAGCAAAUGAUAUACCUUUACUAGUCUUUUUCGAAUUCCUGUUCCGAUUUACAAACCAACUCACCUGCCAAAUCGUUAAUCAACGGGUCCUCUUGUAGUUCCGGUGACGAAUAAUAACCGGUCUACAAUUGAAAUUUCGAAUAAUUCAUUUUGAUAUAAUCUCAAAAUUUAAAACAUCGUCCAAUACUUUAGAAUAGCAAAACACAGAAAUAGGAAUUAAAAGGUUUACAAAAGAUACAAGUGCACAAGCCCAAGCCCAUUUCAGCCCAUAGAUGAACGAGAUAGGCUAAAGUAUAAGCCUGCAAAGAAACAAGAAACGAUACAAAUAUGAAUUCAACUUUGAACUUUUUUUUCUAAGGAGUUUCGGAGUGAAGAGGAUUAUAAACACUCAACUCGAAUUUCAUUCUAUGAAAUUUGAGAUACUAAUUUCAUCUUAUUCCUUCUCGAUCCUGAUAAUUAACACACCGUACUCGUAAUAUGCACAAUUGCGAUUUUCGUAAAUUUACGUAUCAAAUUCCACAUUGAUAGACUCAGCCAUUCAACAUCCAGUAUAGUUGGUCAAAAAUUCUAAAAUACAACUAACAUGGAUGGUUUUUCUGUCUUGAAUUGCUGGUUUCACCUAUAUUCGGUCUCUGAACACAAAAAGAUACCAGCAGUUGUUUUGUACUUUUGUUAAGUGCCAAAAACAAGUGCCGCAAAGGAGCUAAUCUAGUACCGAUUUCUAACUUUUAUCCUCAAAGCCCCAGCUAGAUUAAUCACUAAGCAGACCAAUAACAACGUUCAGAAUCUAACUCAGUUGAUCAUAUAAACAGUGGAACAGCUUAUAAAAGGUUGGUCUUUGUCUGUGUGAAACCUGCGAUUCUAACAUAUACGUAAUGAAACUAGCGACCAUCUGUACGACGUUGUUGCUGUUGCUAAUAAUACUGCCAGAUUUCUGCAGUGUUAAAGCACAAGAAGAUGAUUCAGUGAGUCAUGCCUUGGGGCGGUUCUCCGAACCACAGAGCCACAACCUUAGGCGAGGCCGACGGCCCAGACUGCCUCCUUUCCGGUCCGGUCCGUGGCAGAGAGCUCACGCCACAUUCUAUGAAGGCAACACCAGAACUUAUGGUAUUACAAUUUCAAUUUAAACGGAUUAGCUCGAGUAUAUGUCUCCUUAGUAAACUCAAAUAUAUGCGUCCUUGUUUCAUUUCUCCACGGUCUUUUUAGUGCAAUCACUCUGUCCAUAUGAGAAAUUUGUGAGAUGACUCGCGUUCGAGAGUCAACUCGAAUACUAACUCGAAUAUAUUCCUCGUUAGUGAACUCAAUAAUACAACGUGUAUUUUAUCUGGAGUACUAUAUACAAUUAGUCAUAUGUAAUUUGUAAUUGUUCUACUCAAAAUGCAAGUGGCUAUAUUAUUUAGAUUUAACUAUUUUAUUUGAGAAAAAUAAAAACCUGUAAAAUUUAGAAUAGUUUGUUUUUCCCGACUCCUUGAUGUUUUUAGCAUACAAAUUUCAAAUUCAACUUAAAAUAAACUCAUCGAAAACUUUUAAUGAGGGUUGAAGUUCGAGUGGCUCAUCAAGGAUAGUUGACGAAUCAGGUUCAAACUCAAUCCGAGCUAAAAUUCUCGAGUUCGAGCUCAGCUAAAAGAUAACGAGCCAAAUUUGAGUAAAGUUCGGCUCGGCUUGGUCUGAACAACCUACGAUAACUAAUGCGUCCUUGGUUCAAUCAAAUUAUUAACUAACUAGGCCGGGAUGAUAUUGGUACCUGCGACGGUGACUCAUUAUUCACGAACUUGAUUUGACAGGCGGCGCGUGCGACUACACGGACGUGGUGGGGGAAGGGUACGGGAUGAACACGGCGGCGCUGAGCAACGCUCUCUUCCGAGACGGUAAGAGCUGCGGUGCUUGUUUCCAGAUACAGUGCAUCGACGACCCACAGUGGUGUAAGCCAGGUCAGCAGUCUCUGUUCGUCACGGCCACUGAUCUCUGCCCUCCCAACCCAUUCCAGCCCAGCGACAACGGCGGCUGGUGUAACCCUCCCCGCCAGCAUUUCGACAUCGCCAUGCCCGUCUUCAACCAUCUUGCCGAGUACAAGGCCGGAAUUAUACCCGUCAAGUAUCGCAGGUAAGCUCAAAAUCUGUUACGAAAUAUCAUAUGAAUGUUGAAGUAUCCAAACCAAAUUCGAAUCGAUCAACUUGAUUUCCUGUAAUUUGACAAUGCUUUAUUAGUGUUUUAUAAAGCAUAAAAUGAUAAAAGAUUGUGACCUUUUUCAUUAUUAAUUUAUAAUUAGAAUUAUUCACAUGAUGUUGUAAAAAAAUUUAGAAAAUAAAUAGAGAUAAAUGAAAUUUUUUAUUAUAGAAAAUACAAAAUAAUUUAAAAUAUGUNNNNNNNNNNNNNNNNNNNNNNNNNNNNNNNNNNNNNUGUUGUCUUCUUUUUAUAAAUAAUUUUACUUUUUAUAAAAAAACGUAAUUAGCAUGAAAAUGUGAGACAAUUUAAAGCAUACCAAUUGAAAAAUAAAAAAUAUCACAAAACCCAUAAAGAAUAAUAUAUGAACUGAAAAUAAAAUUAUAAUAAACUCAAAAUGAAACCACAAUAAACUCAAAAUAAAACUUUAAUAAACUUAAAAUAAUCAAACAUUAUUCAUUCUCAUUUUAUAGAUAAAAAGUUCUGACGGUUAUGAUUACAACUAAAAAAUCGGCCACAUAAGUACGGUAUAUACUUUGCAAUUCGAAAAUCUAUGUUGGACAGUUAUUACUUGAACGAAAACUGCAAUAUAUAGAUAAAUAACGAAUAGAAUACCAACUAUCAAAACUCGAACCGUAGUCCAGCCCCACUUCAUUAAAUCUCGUCUUUGUUUUAACUUUUUCUAAGUUGGAAAUUGGGACUGUAGGGUUCCGUGCAGAAAGAGUGGUGGGAUCCGGUACACAAUGAUGGGCAACCAGUGGUUCUACGAGGUCGUAGUUUCGAACGUUGGAGGCUCCGGAGACAUCGUGGCCGUUCAAGUGAAGGUCGACAACAAACUCCGGUGGAUAUCGUUGGAUCACGAUUGGGGCGCCACUUGGAAAACGGGGUUUCCAUUGCAAGGCAAGUCGUUGAGCUUCAGGGUUCGAGGUAGCGACGGAAGGUACUCGACUUCUCCACACGUCGUCCCGAGUAAUUGGCAGUUCGGUCAGACUUUCGAAGGGAAGAACUUCAAAUUGAAGAAUGGAAGAAGAAAGAAGGAUUUUGGCCAAGUUUAAUUCAUACUUUGCUUUCAUUUGCUUGAAUAAUCAUUCUUUCAAUAUUUAAUUUUAGUAUUUGUAAAAUUGUAAGUUGCCGAUCAUACCAUUUGAAUUACAUAUCAAUGGCUAAGUCGAUUGUAUUAAUCGGAUAACCUGUAUAUAAUAAGAGUUUCUGCUACUAGACCGACCUGUUCGAGAUAUCUCGUACCAAACGAGACCUAUCUUAAAUUGCUCCUCUAUUUCCACUCAAGUUGUGUUUCGAAAAAUAGUUUUAGCUGUGGCAAUAUAACAAAUUUAACAGCACUAUAUCUCAGACAAAACUUUCAGUGUGGUAGUAGCUGGUCUUCUAUUGUUCUACUAUGACAAUACACUAGCCAGAUUGUCACAGUAAUUAAAAUCAGAAAAGAAGUGAGAAGCACGGACCGACCUGCAUCUGGCUCCUCCUUCAGGGUAAAAAAUCUAGCUACCGAGUCAAACGAGCUUUUCUCGAACUGAACGUUGAGUUCUUUAACGUUUUGGGGAGACUUGGG
RNAcentral lists this long non-coding RNA (3919 nucleotides) under Linum usitatissimum (flax). RNAcentral describes it as "long non-coding RNA (LUSI_LNC003601)". The record is from RNAcentral. Lineage: Eukaryota; Viridiplantae; Streptophyta; Magnoliopsida; Malpighiales; Linaceae.